Hippocampus zosterae (dwarf seahorse) is the source of this 2287-nucleotide long non-coding RNA. RefSeq lists it as uncharacterized. The record is from RefSeq and is a predicted model, not a curated record. The transcript has 2 exons. Lineage: Eukaryota; Metazoa; Chordata; Actinopteri; Syngnathiformes; Syngnathidae.
UGAAAGCGUCGUUAAGGGUCUCCUGCAGGGUUGCUAAUUUAUGCAGAUUAAUAUACCAGAGUGAAGUGAAAGGAGAAGGAGCGGGUGCCAAAGCUUGGCCUGCAGUCAACAUCGGGCAGAGCCCCGCUUUGGAGGUCCGGGAAGUUUCGCAGAGUGAGCCAUGGACGACCGCCAAGCCACAGUGACGAAGCCUCCACACAGUGUAGCAGCCCUCUUUUUGGCAAGGCUGGCGGCCAAUCAGGUCGGCAGUGGCUUUCUCGCCAAAGAAUAACAUGGCACGCUGGCCCUCUCGCCGCCCCGCCUCCUUUCGCUCCUGCACCACAGCUGCCCAGAAGGAUUUUCUAAACAUUUUGCCAGGAGAUCAAUACCUGUAUUGAUCAACCAUUGUGAGAGUGAUCCGUCUAAAACCCCGAGCUGCCUGGGAGCUGGGAGGAGCGAAAGAGAGAGGCUGUGGAGAGGAUGGAGAAAGAGAGAGUCUGCAGCCACAGUGAAAAGGAGAAGAGGUACAAGGGAGGAGAGGGGCAAUCCGAGCGAGCGGCAGACGCAGAGCCCAGCAGGUUGUGAUACGGGUUUCGGACUAUGCUGCCAGGCCACCAGGAUUGGGCCGAAGCCUAUGAGAGAAACUCUCUCCGCGUCUGAAACACAAUUUGGACACAAGAAGCCAAACGUGUACCGAGCUCACAUGUUCAACUGAAAAUAUAACACCUAAACCUGAAAUGUUGGAGAUAAUCAUGGAUCUGGUGGAAAUGAACAGACCACGUCCUGGAUAUCAACACCAGGAAGGAACAAAAAUGCUUUUAUCAAUGUGUCAACUCUAAUCUAGUUCGUUAAAGCUGAAGCAAGCAAGUCACAGUGUUUUGGGACUUUUGUGGCCGCAUUCAACAUGGAAUACAGGGAUUUUUUUUUUACUUCCUGGUUUGUGGGAAUAUAGCUGGGGUUUUUUUUUGUUUGUUUGUUUUUUUCGCUGGAUUGACCAACAAACGCAAUGAGCGGUCAAUGAAAGGCCUUGAGCUGUGCUGGACCUGAAAGAGGAUUUCCAAAACCCUCUGGGAUUCCCUCUCUCCUACUCACCCCAAAUGCUAAACCGAAAUCAAGAUUGUAUUGACUGCCUUUAAAUGUGAUGUCCUUGUGCAUAAUUGAGGCUUUGAGGGAGACAACAUUCCAAGCUGCCCAUGCUUUGUUGGACGAUCUUGCUGCCAAUGCCACUGGAGCUGUGCACUUGUGUAAAACUUUUUUUUCUUCUGUUUUUACUUUGGAAUCCAAAUAAAGAAUAAUGUCCAUUAUAGACAUUUGAAAAAUACUGUAAAGUGGGUAGCUCAUGUAAUAACAGGCAUUGAUGACCAUUGAUUACCAGCUGUUUAGUUUUUUUUUUACUUAGUUCCGGAUCAUCGCAUCACAUUCUCACUCAUGCAGCUAUAAAUAUAUCUAUGUAUGUGAGUGUGUGUGUAUGUGUGUGUGUGUGUGUAUCUAUCUAUCUAUCUAUCUAUCUAUAUAGAUAUAGAUAUAUAUAUAUAUAUACACAGUAUAUAUAUAGAGGACCUGAGCUGAAUGAGGAAUGGACACCACCUGAGGGGUGAGACGAGGAAUUUUAUAUAUAUACUGUAUAUGUGUGUGUGUGUGCGUUAACGUUAAUUUCAAAAUGUCAAUUUCUUUCAAAAAUCUGAACUAUCCUCCCAUGUUGUCUAUAAUUUUCGCAUAUUAUUAACAAACCCACAUACAUUGUGUGUGAGUAUCGGGAAUUAAUUGUGUUGAAAUUUCAAAAGGAAAAAUCAUUUCGUAUGAAUUCCACAGGCAGCACAUGACAGUUUUCAUCGAAAGGACAGUCAUCAUGUUCUAACAUUCCCCAUUAGGACAAUAUGCCAAAAGCUGCUCAGUACAAAACACUAACGCUACAAUCCCAAUUCUUUUUCCAUUUGCAUCAGUGCCUCGCCACAUAAUAGCAUGCUUCAUUUCAAGGAGGCAAAUGUUAUCACCUUGUACAUUUCAUUCAUGCGCUUUCAAAGCAGGCUUUUCCUGUUUACUUUCAUCCUUUCCGUUUGAUUCUGCUCUUGAGUCAAAGCCAACUCUUGGACGGGUGCCAAACAAUAAAUGAUCUUCAUUAGACACAUCACAUCCAAAUUAGCAUUCAAUUAACAGGCCAGUCAACCUCAUCUAAUCAAGCAAUUAGGCCUUGCGUGUUGACAGAAACGCUAACAAAAGCACACAAGUCCCGUGGGAAAAUGCUGAAACGCUGCAGAGGAGACACGGUGAGAAUGAGAUGCUCGUUCCAGCAAGACUUGGGGAAAAU